RNAcentral lists this non-coding RNA (21 nucleotides) under Arabidopsis thaliana (thale cress). The record is from RNAcentral. Lineage: Eukaryota; Viridiplantae; Streptophyta; Magnoliopsida; Brassicales; Brassicaceae.
ACGGUGGCGGCCUAAGCCCGG